RNAcentral lists this ribosomal RNA (331 nucleotides) under uncultured eukaryote. RNAcentral describes it as "partial 18S ribosomal RNA". It matches the Rfam family "Eukaryotic small subunit ribosomal RNA", at positions 1470 to 1796 of the family's 1831-position model. The record is from RNAcentral.
CCCUUAGAUGUUCUGGGCUGCACGCGCGCUACACUGAAGCGUUCAACGAGUAUUCACCUUGCCCGGGAGGGUUGGGUAAUCUUUUGAAAACGCUUCGUGAUGGGGAUAGAUUAUUGCAAUUAUUAAUCUUCAACGAGGAAUUCCUAGUAAGUGCAAGUCAUCAGCUUGCGCUGAUUACGUCCCUGCCCUUUGUACACACCGCCCGUCGCUACUACCGAUUGAAUGGUUUAGUGAGAUCUCUGGAUUGACGCUGGCUAGGGGGCGACCCUUGGCCAGACUGCUCGAGAAACUGCUCAAACUUGAUCAUUUAGAGGAAGUAAAAGUCGUAACA